RNAcentral lists this ribosomal RNA (429 nucleotides) under Chloroflexota bacterium. Its description in RNAcentral is "Chloroflexi bacterium partial 16S ribosomal RNA". It matches the Rfam family "Bacterial small subunit ribosomal RNA", at positions 355 to 776 of the family's 1533-position model. The record is from RNAcentral. Lineage: Bacteria; Bacillati; Chloroflexota.
UGGGGAAUAUUGCACAAUGGGCGCAAGCCUGAUGCAGCCAUGCCGCGUGUAUGAAGAAGGCCUUCGGGUUGUAAAGUACUUUCAGCGGGGAGGAAGGGAGUAAAGUUAAUACCUUAGCUCAUUGACGUUACCCGCAGAAGAAGCACCGGCUAACUCCGUGCCAGCAGCCGCGGUAAUACGGAGGGUGCAAGCGUUAAUCGGAAUUACUGGGCGUAAAGCGCACGCAGGCGGUCUGUCAAGUCGGAUGUGAAAUCCCCGGGCUCAACCUGGGAACUGCAUUCGAAACUGGCAGGCUAGAGUCUUGUAGAGGGGGGUAGAAUUCCAGGUGUAGCGGUGAAAUGCGUAGAGAUCUGGAGGAAUACCGGUGGCGAAGGCGGCCCCCUGGACAAAGACUGACGCUCAGGUGCGAAAGCGUGGGGAGCAAACAGG